Molecule: small RNA, 29 nt
Filed under: Bombyx mori (domestic silkworm)
Lineage: Eukaryota; Metazoa; Arthropoda; Insecta; Lepidoptera; Bombycidae
Description: ovarian small RNA-24616
Source: RNAcentral
UCAACCUAAAAUAAACAAACAGUGUAGUG